Molecule: ribosomal RNA, 256 nt
Filed under: uncultured bacterium
Lineage: Bacteria
Description: partial small subunit ribosomal RNA
Rfam family: Bacterial small subunit ribosomal RNA
Source: RNAcentral
AGGACGAACGCUGGCGGCGUGCUUAACACAUGCAAGUCGAGCGGAAAGGCCCUUCGGGGUACUCGAGCGGCGAACGGGUGAGUAACACGUGAGCAACCUGCCCUUAGCUCUGGGAUAGCUCCGGGAAAACCGGAAUUAAUACCGGAUAUUACACCGGCUGGCAUCGGCUGGUGUGGAAAGAUUUAUCGGCUAAGGAUGGACUCGCGGCCUAUCAGCUUGUUGGUGGGGUAGAAGCCUACCAAGGCGACGACGGGUA